RNAcentral lists this transfer RNA (48 nucleotides) under Verbena canescens. RNAcentral's name for it is "partial tRNA-Ser". It matches the Rfam family "tRNA", at positions 1 to 46 of the family's 71-position model. Rfam says of the family: Transfer RNA (tRNA) molecules are approximately 80 nucleotides in length. RNAcentral also lists the same sequence under 2 other names. Lineage: Eukaryota; Viridiplantae; Streptophyta; Magnoliopsida; Lamiales; Verbenaceae. The record is from RNAcentral.
GGAGAGAUGGCUGAGUGGUUGAUAGCCCCGGUCUUGAAAACCGGUAUA